This 424-nucleotide ribosomal RNA is filed under the name uncultured Eubacteriales bacterium. RNAcentral describes it as "bacterial SSU rRNA". It matches the Rfam family "Bacterial small subunit ribosomal RNA", at positions 476 to 901 of the family's 1533-position model. The record is from RNAcentral. Lineage: Bacteria; Bacillati; Bacillota; Clostridia; Eubacteriales.
UACCCGUGGAGGAAGCCACGGCUAACUACGUGCCAGCAGCCGCGGUAAUACGUAGGUGGCAAGCGUUGUCCGGAAUUACUGGGUGUAAAGGGAGCGUAGGCGGGAUGCCAAGUUGGAUGUGUAAUACCGGGGCUCAACUCCGGGGCUGCAUCCAAAACUGGUAUUCUUGAGUGAGGUAGAGGCAGGCGGAAUUCCUAGUGUAGCGGUGAAAUGCGUAGAUAUUAGGAGGAACACCAGUGGCGAAGGCGGCCUGCUGGGCCUUAACUGACGCUGAGGCUCGAAAGCGUGGGGAGCAAACAGGAUUAGAUACCCUGGUAGUCCACGCUGUAAACGAUGAUUACUAGGUGUGGGGGCGUCAAGCCUCCGUGCCGGAGCUAACGCAAUAAGUAAUCCACCUGGGGAGUACGACCGCAAGGUUGAAACU